UUGGGCGUAAGAGUCCGUAGGUAGUCAUCCAAGUCUGCUGUUAAAGAGCGAGGCUUAACCUCGUAAAGGCAGUGGAAACUGGAAGACUAGAGUGUAGUAGGGGCAGAGGGAAUUCCUGGUGUAGCGGUGAAAUGCGUAGAGAUCGGGAAGAACACCGGUGGCGAAGGCGCUCUGCUGGGCUAUAACUGACACUGAGGGACGAAAGCUAGGGGAGCGAAUGGGAUUAGAUACCCCAGUAGUCCUAGCGGUAAACGAUGGAAACUAGGUGUGGCCUGUAUCGACCCGGGCCGUGCCGAAGCAAACGCGUUAAGUUUCCCGCCUGGGGAGUACGCACGCAAGUGUGAAACUCAAAGGAAUUGACGGGGGCCCGCACAAGCGGUGGAGUAUGUGGUUUAAUUCGAUGCAACGCGAAGAACCUUACCAGGACUUGACAUCUCUGGAAUCUCCUUGAAAGGGGAGAGUGCCGUAAGGAACCAGAAGACAGGUGCUGCAUGGCUGUCGUCAGCUCGUGUCGUGAGAUGUUGGGUUAAGUCCCGCAACGAGCGCAACCCUCGUCGUUAGUUGCCAUCAUUAAGUUGGGAACUCUAGCGAGACUGCCGGUGACAAACCGGAGGAAGGUGAGGAUGACGUCAAGUCAGCAUGGCCCUUACGUCCUGGGCGACACACGUACUACAAUGCGAGGGACAGAGAGCAGCCAACCCGCGAGGGAGAGCGAAUCUCAUAAACCCUGGCACAGUUCAGAUUGCAGGCUGCAACCCGCCUGCAUGAAUGGAGGAAUCGCUAGUAAUCGC
This 791-nucleotide ribosomal RNA is filed under the name uncultured cyanobacterium. RNAcentral describes it as "bacterial SSU rRNA". It matches the Rfam family "Bacterial small subunit ribosomal RNA", at positions 554 to 1345 of the family's 1533-position model. The record is from RNAcentral. Lineage: Bacteria; Bacillati; Cyanobacteriota.